Molecule: ribosomal RNA, 437 nt
Filed under: Thalassaphorura houtanensis
Lineage: Eukaryota; Metazoa; Arthropoda; Collembola; Poduromorpha; Onychiuridae
Description: partial 28S ribosomal RNA
Rfam family: Eukaryotic large subunit ribosomal RNA
Source: RNAcentral
AACUAUGCCUGGUCAGGACGAAGUCAGGGGAAACCCUGAUGGAGGUUCGUAGCGAUUCUGACGUGCAAAUCGAUCGUCGGAACUGGGUAUAGGGGCGAAAGACUAAUCGAACCAUCUAGUAGCUGGUUCCCUCCGAAGUUUCCCUCAGGAUAGCUGGCGCUUAUACCAGUCUCAUCCGGUAAAGCGAAUGAUUAGAGGCCUUGGGGCCGAAACGACCUCAACCUAUUCUCAAACUUUAAAUGGGUGAGAAGACAGGCUUGCUUGAUCGAAGCUCUGUCAAUGGAUGGUGAGUGCCAAGUGGGCCACUCUUGGUAAGCAGGACUGGCGCUGUGGGAUGAACCAAACGCUGGGUUAAGGCGCCCGAAUCGACGCUCAUGAGAUACCAUAAAAGGCGUUGGUUGCUUAAGACAGCAGGACGGUGGCCAUGGAAGUCGGAA